Molecule: ribosomal RNA, 227 nt
Filed under: Vibrio parahaemolyticus
Lineage: Bacteria; Pseudomonadati; Pseudomonadota; Gammaproteobacteria; Vibrionales; Vibrionaceae
Description: partial 23S ribosomal RNA
Rfam family: Bacterial large subunit ribosomal RNA
Source: RNAcentral
GGUUAAGUGACUAAGCGUACACGGUGGAUGCCUUGGCAGUCAGAGGCGAUGAAGGACGUAGUAACUUGCGAUAAGCCCAGAUUAGGUAGUAACAACCAUUUGAGUCUGGGAUUUCCGAAUGGGGAAACCCACUUACAUAAGUAAGUAUCCUUACCUGAAUACAUAGGGUAAGGAGGCGAACCGGGGGAACUGAAACAUCUAAGUACCCCGAGGAAAAGAAAUCAACC